AUUGAACGCUGGCGGCAUGCCUUACACAUGCAAGUCGAACGGCAGCACGGGAGCAAUCCUGGUGGCGAGUGGCGAACGGGUGAGUAAUAUAUCGGAACGUGCCCAGUCGUGGGGAUAACGUAGCGAAAGCUACGCUAAUACCGCAUACUAUCUAUGGAUGAAAGCGGGGGAUCGCAAGACCUCGCGCGAUUGGAGCGGCCGAUAUCAGAUUAGGUAGUUGGUGAGGUAAAGGGCUCACCAAGCCGACGAUCUGUAGCUGGUCUGAGAGGACGACCAGCCACACUGGGACUGAGACACGGCCCAGACUCCUACGGGAGGCAGCAGUGGGGAAUUUUUGGACAAUAGGGCGCAAGCCUGAUCCAGCAAUGCCGCGGUGCAGGAUGAAGGCCUCGGUU
Molecule: ribosomal RNA, 395 nt
Filed under: uncultured bacterium
Lineage: Bacteria
Description: bacterial SSU rRNA
Rfam family: Bacterial small subunit ribosomal RNA
Source: RNAcentral